AUUAAUAGUCUAUUUUAUAAAUAAAGAAAAUAUAAUUUCAAAUAUUUUAUGCAUACGAUAAUAUAAAAUUUUUCCUUCCACUGGCUAAAAAAUCUAAUUCCGUCACUGCCUCUAUGGCCCAUAACUCUCUCAAACAGUUUUUUAUUCUUUAAUUUCACUAUCAGGGUUAGGCUAAAUAUCACAUAAAUUACUACAUUUCAUCCUAUUUAAAAUAUUUUUUAAUGUGAAAAAAAAAAACACACAAAUAUUUGUGCUUUAUUCAAUUAACUUCCUUUGGGGAAGUCAUUUAUUCUUCUACGCAUAUAGUAGGACAAUGGUGAAAGAUAAAAUAACACAUCGAACAUAUGUUAAUGAAAAUUUUAGACGAUGGGAAAGCUAACUUAUUGCCUAAUUUUUGGUGAGAUUAUCAAAGGUGAGAGUCGCUAUCAGUCAUUAGCUGUUAAUAUUUUAGAGAAAUUCUAGCAUGGGAUGGGCAUAUGAUUCAUUUCAAUCACAAAGAAUGUGCAUUUUAUUUUUAUUGUUGAUUGCAAAUUGCUAGCCACUUAUAAUUGAACAAUCAUUAAUUCAAGUAUUAUUCAAGUUUUUUUUGGUUUAACAGAAGUUCAUCUGCUUACUGUUGUCAAAAUUAUAACAUUUGUACAUGUUAUAAUUUGAAAAAAGAAUAUAUAUAUAUGUAUAUCUCAAAAAUUGAUGCACUGUGGUCUGUGGGGUUAUGGAUUUGCAUCCGGUUCACUUGAUAUAGUAUGAAUUUUUGAAAGAAGGGGGCCUAUGUCCUUUGUUCAUUAGGGCCUUAGAGAGGUCAACAGCAAAGGGCCAUAAUUGGGCUUGUGACACAGUGUAUACUACUUAGAAUGCUUUAUUGGGUCAUUGUUAGGACAGGGCAUUGAAAACCCACUUAUCCAUUUGUUGAAUUCUUUUAAUUAGUUGAUAAAUAAAUGAGUGUUGUUAUUUUUUAUUUUAGUCUUACUUACAAAAAAAAAAA
Molecule: unclassified non-coding RNA, 982 nt
Filed under: Hevea brasiliensis (rubber tree)
Lineage: Eukaryota; Viridiplantae; Streptophyta; Magnoliopsida; Malpighiales; Euphorbiaceae
Source: RNAcentral